GUGUCAGCAGCCGCGGUAAGACAGAGGGUGCAAACGUUGUUCGGAAUUACUGGGCGUAAAGCGCGUGUAGGCGGCAGCGCAAGUCGGAUGUGAAAUCCCAUGGCUCAACCAUGGAAGUGCACCCGAAACUGCGUCGCUAGAGUCCUGGAGAGGAAGGUGGAAUGCUUGGUGUAGAGGUGAAAUUCGUAGAUAUCAAGCGGAACACCGGUGGCGAAGGCGGCCUUCUGGACAGUGACUGACGCUGAGACGCGAAAGCGUGGGGAGCAAACAGGAUUAGAUACCCUCGUAGUCC
This 292-nucleotide ribosomal RNA is filed under the name uncultured bacterium. RNAcentral's name for it is "partial 16S ribosomal RNA". It matches the Rfam family "Bacterial small subunit ribosomal RNA", at positions 505 to 796 of the family's 1533-position model. The record is from RNAcentral.